This 19-nucleotide small nuclear RNA is filed under the name Arabidopsis thaliana (thale cress). RNAcentral's name for it is "snRNA_03730". Lineage: Eukaryota; Viridiplantae; Streptophyta; Magnoliopsida; Brassicales; Brassicaceae. The record is from RNAcentral.
UUCUCUUUUAAGUGAAAAA